GAAAGUAAAUAAGGGCGCAGGGCGGAUGCCUUGGCUCACGGAGGCGAUGAAGGACGUGAUAAGCUGCGAUAAGCUUCGGGUAGGUGCAAAUAACCGUUAAUCCGAAGAUUUCCGAAUGGGACAACCCGGCAGUCUGAAGGACUGUCAUUUGGACUUAUGUCCAAAGGCGAACGCAGGGAACUGAAACAUCUUAGUACCUGCAGGAAGAGAAAAUAAACUAAUGAUUCCCCUAGUAGUGGCGAGCGAACGGGGAAGAGCCCAAACCGUUUUUGUGGUAACGCAAGAGCGGUGUUGUAGGACCGCGACAUCGGACCUUAGAAUCGAUCGGAACGUUCUGGAAAGAACGGCCAUAGAUGGUGAAAGCCCAGUAUGAGAAGACGAUAAGGCCGUAGCGAGCUCCUGAGUAACGCGGAACACGAGAAAUUCUGCGCGAAUCCACCGGGACCAUCCGGUAAGGCUAAAUACUCCCGUGAGACCGAUAGUGAACCAGUACCGUGAGGGAAAGGUGAAAAGCACUUCGAUUAGAAGGGUGAAAGAGAUCCUGAAACCCUGCGCCUACAAGCGGUCGGAGCCGAGCAAUCGGUGACGGCGUGCCUUUUGCAUAAUGAACCUACGAGUUGCCGUCGCCGGCAAGGUUAAGGAUGAAGACAUCCCGAGCCAUAGUGAAAGCGAGCCUGAAUAGGGCGCUGAGUCGGCGGAGGCAGACGCGAAACCAAGUGAUCUACACUUGACCAGGAUGAAGUCCGGGUAACACCGGAUGGAGGUCCGCACCAAUAAGCGUUGAAAAGCUUCUGGAUGAGUUGAGUGUAGGAGUGAAAGGCCAAUCAAACUUGGAGAUAGCUCGUACUCCCCGAAAUGCAUUUAGGUGCAGCGUGGCACGAUCCCGUAGAGAGGUAGAGCGACCGAUAGGAUGAGAGGGCUUCACCGCCUAUCAAGUCCUGACGAACUCCGAAUGCUCUACGGCCGCAGUGUCGCAGUAAGGGCGCGGGUGCUAAGGUCCGUGCCCGAGAGGAGAAGAAUCCUGACCGCCGUCUAAGGCCCCGGAAUUCUGCCUGAGUUAGUCUAACGAAGUCUGGUCCCUGUGACAGCUAGGAUGUUGGCUUGGAAGCAGCCAUUCAUUCAAAGAGUGCGUAACAGCUCACUAGUCGAGGGUCCGGGCAUGGAUAAUAAUCGGGUAUAAGGCAGAUGCCGAAGAUGCGGGAUAGUAAUAAUAAAAGUAUCGGUAGGGGAGCAUUCCAGUCAGCGUUGAAUCCGGUGGAUAACCCCCGGUGGAGCGUCUGGAAAAGCAAAUGUAGGUAUAAGUAACGAUUAGGGGGGUGAGAUCCCCCCCCGCCAUAAGACUAAGGUUUCCCGGGCAACGUCAAUCGGCCCGGGGUUAGUCGGGUCCUAAGUCUAAGCCGAACGGCGAGGGCGAUGGCAGACACGGUUAAUAUUCCGUGACUAGCGUACGGAGUGAAGCGGGGACGGAGCAGUGAAACCACCGCGCGCAGACGGAAUUGCGCGUUGAAGGGUGUAGGAGUUGAUUGACGGAGGCAAAUCCCCGUCAAGAUCCGAACCUGAUAGUACGGCUGUCCCUUCGGGGAAGGCUGAUAGUGUGGGUAAACAUACUUCCUAGAAAAUCCGCUAAACUUAAUCCGUACGGUACCCGUACCGCAAACGGACACACGUAGUCGGGUAGAACAUACUAAGGCGUUGAGAGAUUCAUGGUUAAGGAACUAGGCAAAUUAACCCCGUAACUUCGGGAUAAGGGGUCCUCUCCUCCGGGAGAGGCGCAGAGAAUAGGUCCAGGCAACUGUUUAACAAAAACACAGGGCUGUGCGAAUUCGAAAGACGAAGUAUACAGCCUGACACCUGCCCGGUGCCGGAAGGUUAAGAGGAGAUGUCAUCCUUCGGGAGAAGCAUUGAAUUGAAGCCCCGGUAAACGGCGGCCGUAACUAUAACGGUCCUAAGGUAGCGAAAUUCCUUGUCGGGUAAGUUCCGACCUGCACGAAUGGUGUAAUGAUCCGGACGCUGUCUCAACCAUGAGCUCAGUGAAAUUGUAGUAUCGGUGAAGAUGCCGAUUACCCGCGAUGGGACGAAAAGACCCCGUGAACCUUUACUAUAGCUUAGCAUUGACUUUGGUCAUCCGAUGUGUAGGAUAGGCCGGAGGCUUCGAAGCGCAGGCGCCAGCCUGUGUGGAGCCAUCCUUGAAAUACGGCCCUUUGGCUGUCUGAAGUCUAACUCGUAUAACGAGGACAUUGUUUGGUGGGUAGUUUGACUGGGGUGGUCGCCUCCAAAAGCGUAACGGAGGCUUCCAAAGGUGCCCUCGGACCGAUUGGUAACCGGUCUCAUAGAGUGCAAUGGCAUAAGGGCGCUUGACUGGGAGGGAGACAUCCCGAGCAGGCAGGAAACUGGGGCAUAGUGAUCCGGCGGAUCCGUAUGGAAGGUCCGUCGCUCAAAGGAUAAAAGGUACUCCGGGGAUAACAGGCUGAUCCCCCCCAAGAGCUCAUAUCGACGGGGUGGUUUGGCACCUCGAUGUCGGCUCGUCACAUCCUGGGGCUGGAGAAGGUCCCAAGGGUUGGGCUGUUCGCCCAUUAAAGUGGCACGCGAGCUGGGUUCAGAACGUCGUGAGACAGUUCGGUCUCUAUCUAUCGUGGGCGUGGGAGUUUUGCGUGGUGCCGUCACUAGUACGAGAGGACCGUGAUGGACAGACCUCCGGUGAACCGGUUGUGCCGCCAGGCGCACCGCCGGGUAUCCGAGUCUGGGAAGGAUAAGCGCUGAAAGCAUCUAAGUGCGAAGCCAGCCACAAGAUGAGAACUCCACAUAAGGGUCGUCAUAGACUAUGACGUUGAUAGGGUGUAGGUGUAAAGGCGGUGACGCCAAAGCCGAGCACUACUAAUUGCCCGAAACUUCCUUUU
This 2897-nucleotide ribosomal RNA is filed under the name Xylanibacter oryzae DSM 17970. RNAcentral's name for it is "bacterial LSU rRNA". It matches the Rfam family "Bacterial large subunit ribosomal RNA". Lineage: Bacteria; Pseudomonadati; Bacteroidota; Bacteroidia; Bacteroidales; Prevotellaceae. The record is from RNAcentral.